CCUACGGGAGGCUGCAGUGAGGAAUAUUGGUCAAUGGGCGCUAGCCUGAACCAGCCAAGUAGCGUGAAGGAUGACGGCCCUAUGGGUUGUAAACUCCUUUUAUAGGGGAAUAAAGUGCAGUAUGUAUACUGCUUUGCACGUACCUCAUGAAUAAGGAACGGCUAACGCUGUGCAAGCAGCCGCGGUAAUACGGAGGUUCAAAGCGUUAUCCGGAUUUAUUGGGUUUAAAGGGAGCGUAGUCGGGUUGGUAAGUCAGUUGUGAAAGGUUGCGGCUCAACCGUAAGAUUGCAGUUGAAACGGGCAUACGUGAGUACAGUAGAGGUAGGCGGAAUUCGUGGUGUAGCGGUGAAAUGCUUAGAUAUCACGAAGAACUCCGAUUGCGAAGGCAGCCUGCUGGACUGUAACUGACGCUGAUGCUCGAAAGUGUGGGUAUCAAACAGGAUUAGAUACCCGUGUAGUC
This 460-nucleotide ribosomal RNA is filed under the name uncultured bacterium. Its description in RNAcentral is "partial 16S ribosomal RNA". It matches the Rfam family "Bacterial small subunit ribosomal RNA", at positions 338 to 795 of the family's 1533-position model. The record is from RNAcentral.